RNAcentral lists this ribosomal RNA (1543 nucleotides) under metagenome. RNAcentral describes it as "bacterial LSU rRNA". It matches the Rfam family "Bacterial large subunit ribosomal RNA", at positions 1302 to 2925 of the family's 2925-position model. The record is from RNAcentral.
UUAAGUAACGAUAAUCCCGGUGAAAAACCGGGACACCGAAAGACUAAGGUUUCCUGAUCAACGCUAAUCGGAUCAGGGUUAGUCGGGACCUAAGGCGUACCCAAACGGGAUAGCUAAUGGAUAUCAGGUUAAUAUUCCUGUACUUCCUUACAGUGCAAGGUAGGGACGUGAACAUCAGGUGCUUACGUACUGACGGAAUAGUGCGUCGAGCCUAGCCUUUGGGCGAAGCAAAAGCAAGUAGUGUCCACCAAGAAAAGCUACCAAAGCUUCAGCUGUAAGGAACUCGUACCGCAAACCAACACAGGUAGUCGAGGAGAGUAUCCACAGGUGCUCGAGUGAUUCAUGGCUAAGGAACUAGGCAAAUUGACCCUGUAACUUCGGAAGAAAGGGUCCCCGACUACGGUCGGGGCGCAGAGAAAUGGCCCAGGCGACUGUUUAACAAAAACACAUGGCUUUGCUAAAUCGAAAGAUGACGUAUAAGGCCUGACACCUGCCCGGUGCUGGAAGGUUAAGGGGAGAGGUUAUCCCGACUCGUCGGGAGAAGCUUCAAACUGAAGCCCCAGUAAACGGCGGCCGUAACUAUAACGGUCCUAAGGUAGCGAAAUUCCUUGUCGGGUAAGUUCCGACCUGCACGAAUGGUGUAACGAUCUGGGCACUGUCUCAGCCAUGAGCUCGGUGAAAUUGUAGUAGCGGUGAAGAUGCCGCUUACCCGCAACGGGACGGGAAGACCCCGUGAACCUUUACUAUAGCUUAACAUUGACUCUGGAUAAAUGAUGUGUAGGAUAGGUGGGAGACUGUGAAGUCCCAACGCCAGUUGGGAUGGAGUCAACCUUGAAAUACCACCCUUCGUUUAUUCGGAGCCUAAUCCCCUCUAUCGCGGGAAACAGUGUUUGGUGGGUAGUUUGACUGGGGUGGUCGCCUCCAAAAACGUAACGGAGGCUCUCAAAGGUACCCUCAGCACGCUUGGUAACCGUGCGUCGAGUGCAAUGGCAUAAGGGUGCUUGACUGCGAGACUUACUAGUCGAACAGGUAGGAAACUAGGACAUAGUGAUCCGGUGGUCCCAUAUGGAAGGGCCAUCGCUCAAAGGAUAAAAGGUACUCCGGGAUAACAGGCUGAUCACUCCCAAGAGCUCACAUCGACGGAGUGGUUUGGCACCUCGAUGUCGGCUCGUCAUAUCCUGGGGCUGGAGAAGGUCCCAAGGGUUCGGCUGUUCGCCGAUUAAAAUGGCACGCGAGCUGGGUUCAGAACGUCGUGAGACAGUUCGGUCCCUAUCUGUUGCGGGCGUGGGAAGUUUGAGGGGACCUGACCUUAGUACGAGAGGACCAGGUUGGACAAACCGCUAGUGUACCUGCUGUGGCGCCUAGCUGCACCGCAGGGUAGCUAUGUUUGGACGAGAGAAGUGCUGAAAGCAUCUAAGUACGAAACUCACCCCAAGAUGAGACUUCCAUUGAGGGCCCUUGUAGACUACAAGGUCGAUAGGCUGCAGGUGUAAAGAUGGUAACAUCCGUGCCAAGCAGUACUAAUCGCCCAAUACUUUAUCUC